AUACGGAGGAUCCGAGCGUUAUCCGGAUUUAUUGGGUUUAAAGGGAGCGUAGGCGGGAUAUCAAAGUCAGCUGUGAAAUGUAGAUGCUCAACAUCUGCACUGCAGUUGAAACUGGUGUUCUUGAGUGCGUAAGAGGUAGGCGGAAUUCGUCGUGUAGCGGUGAAAUGCAUAGAUAUGACGAAGAACUCCGAUUGCGAAGGCAGCUUACUGGGCCGCAACUGACGCUGAAGCUCGAAGGUGCGGGUAUC
Molecule: ribosomal RNA, 248 nt
Filed under: uncultured bacterium
Lineage: Bacteria
Description: partial 16S ribosomal RNA
Rfam family: Bacterial small subunit ribosomal RNA
Source: RNAcentral